This 484-nucleotide ribosomal RNA is filed under the name uncultured bacterium. RNAcentral describes it as "partial 16S ribosomal RNA". It matches the Rfam family "Bacterial small subunit ribosomal RNA", at positions 30 to 507 of the family's 1533-position model. The record is from RNAcentral.
AGUGAACGCUGGCGGCAGGCCUAACACAUGCAAGUCGAGCGGCAGCGCGGGGGCAACCCUGGCGGCGAGCGGCGGACGGGUGAGGAAUUCGUCGGAAUCUGCCUUUUUGUGGGGGAUAACGUAGGGAAACUUACGCUAAUACCGCAUACGUCCUACGGGAGAAAGUGGGGGACCGCAAGGCCUCACGCAGAAAGAUGAGCCGACGACCGAUUAGCUAGUUGGUGGGGUAAAGGCCCACCAAGGCGACGAUCGGUAGCUGGUCUGAGAGGAUGAUCAGCCACAUGGGAACGUAGACACGGCCAAGAGGCCUACGGGAGGCAGCAGUGGGGAAUAUGAGACAAUGGGCGCAAGCCUGAUCCAGCCAUGCCGCGUGUGUGAAGAAGGCCUUCGGGUUGGAAAGCACUUUUGUCCGGAAAGAAAUCCCUGGAGCUAAUACCUUCGGGGGAUGACGGUACCGGAAGAAUAAGCACCGGCUAACUUCGUG